Molecule: ribosomal RNA, 253 nt
Filed under: uncultured bacterium
Lineage: Bacteria
Description: partial 16S ribosomal RNA
Rfam family: Bacterial small subunit ribosomal RNA
Source: RNAcentral
UACGUAGGUGGCAAGCGUUGUCCGGAAUUAUUGGGCGUAAAGCGCGCGCAGGCGGUCCUUUAAGUCUGAUGUGAAAGCCCACGGCUCAACCGUGGAGGGUCAUUGGAAACUGGGGGACUUGAGUGCAGAAGAGGAAAGCGGAAUUCCACGUGUAGCGGUGAAAUGCGUAGAUAUCGGGAGGAACACCAGUGGCGAAGGCGACUACCUGGCCCACUCUUGACGCUGAGGCGCGAAAGCUAGGGGAGCGAACGGG